RNAcentral lists this unclassified non-coding RNA (834 nucleotides) under Hevea brasiliensis (rubber tree). Lineage: Eukaryota; Viridiplantae; Streptophyta; Magnoliopsida; Malpighiales; Euphorbiaceae. The record is from RNAcentral.
UUUUGGGGGAGAAGAGAGAGAGUUUGAACCAUUAGAAAAUAUAACCAAAAACAAAAGAUAGCAAGCAGACAUCAAGGAAGCAGCCAUAAACUAACACUGAAAUUAAACAGCUCGGCAUAGCUUUUACCUAUAGGAUCACACAGCUCCUGAGUGAAAUAUAUACACUCGGUUUAUGCCAAGGAGAUAUAUAUAUACCGAUACAAGAUGAAGAACAAAAGAAACAAUUAACAAACUCUGAAGAAAGGCAUGACCUUCCCUUUGCCUUUGUGACUUGCCUUUUGCCGGCCCCCACUUCCACCCCAUGAAGGGAGAGAGGGAGGGGAACUGAAGGGGGUUACCAUUAUCCAACGCAUGAAGUUCCCAUCUUCUUCUUUUUUCUUUUCCUCCGCAUGGUGUGUCAAAACCUUGUUACUUCAGAGAGAGCAAGAAAAGAACUAGGAGUAGCAUUUGCAUUGCUUCUUCUCUUUCCAGUGUUCCAUGUAUAUAUAAUGGCCUUUGGACACAAGAGCCCUAACAGUGUCAAUUCAAUUUGAUACUUGAAAAUGGUCCACAAAGGCAUAUUAUUCCUCUUAUUGGGUCAUGCUUAUCCCACUAAGAAUAUUAUUCUUCUUCUAUCUUCACAUAAAUUACACUAGUAGUUUAUCUACAUCAAGAAUCAAGACAUCUAAACAGGGAGAGCCCAGUCAUUUUUCAUGUGAUGAAGAAAAGCUAAAGAAAUUGAAUAAUCAAUAGAGAACAGGUGGAAGGCUCCUCCUCCAAAGAGGUUAUCAAAUUAUAAAUAAUUGGAAAAGUAGCAUAGGAGAGUACCCUAAAGACUAAAGAGAGAAUAUGGAA